GAAAGACCGGCACCCUGGAGGAGAGGAUGGCCUCGGAGGAGUUCGGCUCUCAGAGUGAGCCCUUUUGGAGGGGGCUCUGUUACACCACGGCGAACUCGCGGCCACCGAGACGGCGUGGACUACAUUUCCCAGCCACGCCCGCACUCAAGUUUGUCCGAAUAUUGAGUGCCAACACUUGUGUGCUACCCAAGGUUAUUUAAGACCUUGUUAACAUAGCGCGGCGCGAAGUAACGCUUAGCUUUCCCUAGACGCUAGCUAGUUACCAAGCUCCCUACUACGCUUCGGACUUACAUGGUUAAGGGCUCUAGCCUCGUUUUCUAUUUACGAUUCUCGGAUCUCGUCUUGGAUUAUUCCUUUCGCUUCGGACUGAGUGCUUGGCGCUUCACGCCUCCCUCGCCUUCUUGUCACUGCUCGGCCCGCGCUUGCCUCCCAUCUGGUAACGUAACACCGGUUGAGUUUACCAUUUAAGGAAUCCAGUGGAAUAGGAUGAACAGGGGUAUGACAUGGGUUCUCUUGGGCUGGUUGAAUACAAGGCGUGCUGCUGCAUUCUGAAUCAUCUGAAGGGGUUUGAUGGAGCUGGCUGGGCGGCCCGAGAGUAGUACGUUGCAGUAGUCCAGUUCCGAUAUGACAAGAGUCUGGACUAGUAGCUGUGUAACCUGUUCGCCACAUCAGUCAAUUUCUGGCAACCGGCAGAAUCAAGGUAUACUAAAACAAUUAUUAUUUCUUUUUUUUGAUAACUACACACAUGGAUACAGAUAUUGAUCUGAAUAAUGUUUUUGUGACUUGUUUAAGGAAGUGUGAAUGAUCCACAAUCUCUUCGAGUUGGUAACUAUUUAAUUUAAUAAUAAUUAUCUUACAGUCAGUUUUAUUAAUUGUCUCCCAAACAGACUUAUGUUGACUUAUGGCAGUGUUCUUUUUUUUUUUUUCAUUGCUGUAGUUAGUAUUGUCAUUGAUGUUUCAAAACAAAUUCUGGACAGAAAUCUACAAGUUAUGAAAUUUGAUAGUUUGGAGAGGAGAAUCAUGCUGAAACUAGACCAAAUCCAGGACAACAUCACAGCAGCGGUCGGAACAAUGCACUAGUCAAUGAGCCAGCCAAGCACAUCUGUCUCUGAUCUUAUAGAGGUGCUAGAGGUGCCUUGUAAGACUGUGGAGGAAUUAACAGAGCUGUGAGAUAAGCUGAAAGAUGCUGACUUUCGAAAGAAGAAUGAUUCGUUAUCUGUGUCUUCAGAGUGGAGGCAGCUUGGGAGAUGGAAUUAGGAGGAUGCUGAAAAAAAUUACAGUUACAAAGGGAGAAAGGAAAAACGUAAAUUUCAGCAGCUCCUAAUCAAUGAUGUCAUCACACAUAAGUUUCAAAACUUGUCACUAAUAACUAAUAACGUGUCUGUGUCAAUCCCCAAGAUCUCAAAAAUGUUUUGGAAUGCAGAAAGGUUGUAAAUAAGAAUGUACAUUGUAAAUGUAAAAGUUGUUAGUUCUCAGUACAUAAAUAUUCAUACCAUGGUCUAUUAUAAAAACAAGAGUAAUGUUGAUGCUUUUUGAAUAGAACUUUAGUCUGAGUUCUAGUUUAAAUAACUGUGAUCUCUGUAUUGACUCAAGGUGCCUGCAGUAAGUCAUACCCACACCAAAAUCCCAGAGUGUGGAGGAAAUGAUUGCUGUGACCCUAAAACAUGCCCCAUAUCAUGCAAAAACAGCAAAGCAGGCAAGUGCAUUAUAACAUUUAAUUCCAACAGUUAUAAACAAUCAGCAAAAAAAAAAAAAAAGACAGACAGAUAGAUGGAUAGAUAGACAGAUGGAUAGACAGAUCGAUGGAUAGACAGACAGAGAGAUAGAAGGACAGACAGACAGAUGGAUAGACAGAGAGAUAGAUAUACAACAGAGUAUAAUUUGUACCUGUUUGUCAGCAUUAUAGCUUUGGGUCACACACUUUGAUCCGGAUGAUCAAACGCAUAAUGGAGUUCCAAAUAUCGAGCGUAAUUUAUGCCGGAAAGCCGACCCCUGCACUCUGCUCUCCACUUACCGUGCUAUUUCAACAUGAACAGCACCAGCACACAGGUGCACCUCGAGCCAUGGGGUGCUCAGGAAUUAUUUACCUGGCACCAGGCACAAGCGAUCGUGGAGGUCGGGUUUGACACAGAGGACGUAGUGUUGGAGGAUCUGGACCGGCAGCGAUGGGGAUAAAAAUCAACAUCGGGAGACCAAGGAGAAAAUGAUGUGAUGGGCCAUACCCUGGGUGUAAGUGCCAGCCUUACGUCUCCCCAAGGGUGGCCCUCUACUGUACGCAAAAUGCAUGGGCUGAAGUCGACCAGCAUACCAGAGGACACUGCUGGCAUGGGGGAACGUAACCAGGAUAUGGUGGAAAUAAUGCAUGGGUUAAUUGAAUUGUUAUGAAUUGUUUAAAUGCAAGCAAUGUGUAAUAGCCUGUGAACACAACCAGGCACCGGCAUAAGAAAAAGGGUGCUGUCGAGCGCAAAAGUGCUGGCAGGGUGGGAAUUUUUCCUCAUUAGAAGUAGUAAGUGUAAUCAGUAUAAUCUCAUAGUGAUUUAUCCAGUAUUUAAUCAGAUACACUUGUUUUUAAUCAGGAUCUAAUGUGUUAAAGGCAGUAUAUACCUUGACAAGUGAUUACAGGAAAACCCAUGGCUAGGUUCAUCUAUUUGAGUUCAGCUCAGAGUACCAAAUACCAAUUUACUUUGAGGCCCCUAGUCGACUGGCUGUUGAGAGUCUUCCACAUGCCCUACAGAACCUCCAUAGGACCUGCAAUGGAUAGCUGCACAGUGACGCAGAGACGGAGUCUGUUCCAUUCCGUGUUUUAAUUAAUGGAAGAAAAAAAAAGAGAGAGAUGAAGAGAAGGUUGUGGUCUUCGGAAGCAAUAAAAAGAACAGGUGACUAAAGGAGGAGAAAUGAGCAGGAGGCGGAAAUGAGCGGGACGCGGAACUGAGAGCCAGGUGGGAAUGGCGGAAUUGAUGGUGUGCGUUUGCCAGGGACCAUGCUAAUCCUUUUACUGUGGAUUAUAAUCUUGUGGAUAUUGAUUCCGGAGGCUGGCGAACACUUCGGGAAUGUCCUGCCAAGGUGAAUCAACGAGUGAGCGGAGCUUUGAGGGUUUGGAGGCACAUCACGGGUUUGAGAUCAUUUCUUUAAUACUUUUGUGGAGAACCAGUAUGCUUAAAUCGUCGGAUGUUACUGUCUGUAAAUAACUCUGAGUGUUAAGCGGAAUCUGACUGCCGGUUUCCCAUGCUUUCAAGUUCUUGGGACUCCCAUAUGCCUAAAUCACCACCAUUGAAGUGUCACUUUUAAAGUGAACAGCUUUUUUGUUUUGGUUAAGAAUUAUUUUGUGGUUAAAUGUGUUUUUUCUGCUUUUUGUGUGUGCAAAUUUUCUUGUAUGAAUAGAGACUUGUUUCCUUA
Ictalurus punctatus (channel catfish) is the source of this 3396-nucleotide long non-coding RNA. RefSeq lists it as uncharacterized. The transcript has 5 exons. The record is from RefSeq and is a predicted model, not a curated record. Lineage: Eukaryota; Metazoa; Chordata; Actinopteri; Siluriformes; Ictaluridae.